Long non-coding RNA from Aricia agestis (brown argus), 106 nucleotides. RefSeq lists it as uncharacterized. The record is from RefSeq and is a predicted model, not a curated record. The transcript is spliced from 3 exons. Lineage: Eukaryota; Metazoa; Arthropoda; Insecta; Lepidoptera; Lycaenidae.
AUUUUAAUAUAAAUUAUAUACCUGAGUGACCUACGAAAAAUUGUAGCCCAUCAAAAGGUAUUUCGUGGAGAAGUGGGGAAGGGGCUAGGCGGGUCUGGGUCUUACU